Molecule: long non-coding RNA, 817 nt
Organism: Papaver somniferum (opium poppy)
Lineage: Eukaryota; Viridiplantae; Streptophyta; Magnoliopsida; Ranunculales; Papaveraceae
Exons: 3
Source: RefSeq, a predicted model, not a curated record
GCAGCCGCCUUCAAAGUAAAACUUUCUUUUUGCUCAUUUUCUUUGGAUCUCAAUUUUUUUUCUUCAGAAUAAUGUAUGAUUCUUCGUGAAUCUGUUUAUUACUCACUGAUCUCUUAAUUCCUCUAAAAUUGCCGAAAGAAGAUGAAGCCCUUGUCCUGUAUUGUUCAUGAAAUUCACUCACACAAUGAUUUUUCCUCUCAAAACCGGAGUUUUUUCAUUAUAUAUUGUGAUGUACUUUGGAAGAAUAGACUGAAUUUUCGGUUUUUUGGUUUGUUUCCUUGAGUAGAUCCAUCUUGCGGUGCGAUAAACAAAGUAUGAAGUAUUACCAUCCGGAGGAUUUGGAGCUAUUUAUAGUGCUACGGACUCUAGAAAAUGUGUUGUUGUUGUGCUGGGGAGCGGUGUUACUAUUUUGGAUUGACAUGAGUGAUGCGUGGUCUGUUCACUUUGGACCUGUUGUGGAAGUAUUUAGAGAUGCUGCUAGUGAAGUAUGAUUUGGUUGAUGAUGUAUCGUUUAAUGAACCUGUUGAUAAUAAAAAGUCGGGAAAGUCUGGGAUUCGGAUCCAGAUGAAUUUUAUUGAUAGUGAAGGUAGGGGCGUUAAUACAAGUGAUGUGGAGGACAUUUCAAAUCAGCAGCAAUAUCAUUGUUUACACUGUCUUUUUUAUGUUAUUUAAUUUGGAGGAGCAAAUAACUGGUAUCUCUUCUUCUAUAGAACAUGUUGAACAUCAUGGAACUUACAUCCUCCACUGCAUUAGUGGUUGUUGUCGUGUCUUAUAGAUGUGUAAAAGUGACUGUAAGGAAAGGAAUUUUGUUUUGUUA